AUUGAACGCUGGCGGCAUGCUUUACACAUGCAAGUCGAACGGUAACAGGUUAAGCUGACGAGUGGCGAACGGGUGAGUAAUGCAUCGGAACGUGCCCGGUCGUGGGGGAUAACGCAGCGAAAGCUGCGCUAAUACCGCAUACGAUCUAAGGAUGAAAGCGGGGGACCGUAAGGCCUCGCGCGAUCGGAGCGGCCGAUGUCAGAUUAGGUAGUUGGUGGGGUAAAGGCUCACCAAGCCAACGAUCUGUAGCUGGUCUGAGAGGACGACCAGCCACACUGGGACUGAGACACGGCCCAGACUCCUACGGGAGGCAGCAGUGGGGAAUUUUGGACAAUGGGCGAAAGCCUGAUCCAGCAAUGCCGCGUGCAGGAAGAAGGCCUUCGGGUUGUAAACUGCUUUUGUACGGAGCGAAAAGGUCUCCUCUAAUACAGGGGGCUCAUGACGGUACCGUAAGAAUAAGCACCGGCUAACUACGUGCCAGCCGCCGCCGUAA
RNAcentral lists this ribosomal RNA (493 nucleotides) under uncultured bacterium. RNAcentral describes it as "partial 16S ribosomal RNA". It matches the Rfam family "Bacterial small subunit ribosomal RNA", at positions 30 to 523 of the family's 1533-position model. The record is from RNAcentral.